This 23-nucleotide non-coding RNA is filed under the name Drosophila melanogaster (fruit fly). Lineage: Eukaryota; Metazoa; Arthropoda; Insecta; Diptera; Drosophilidae. The record is from RNAcentral.
UAGAGUUCUUGCCCCGCCAACAU